UGUGGAUAGGUUAAAUUAAUGCAACGUAAGUGAAUCCUUUACUUUAUAAAAUAAGGCAUAAAUUUGCAGAUAUAAUUUUUUUUUUCUAUUUUCGCCUUGUGACCGAACUUCCGUGCGUUGCUUUUGCCUUUGCCUCAACUAGUAGUGUGCGUAAAGUCAAUGAGGGAACUUGUUAAUGAACCAGUUUAAGAACAACCGAUUACAAACCCUUCGGUCCUUUACAGAUUUCCGUUUCUCCAAAUUUACCCAAUUUGCCCGUAUACAAUCUCAUACCCAUACUA
Schizosaccharomyces pombe (fission yeast) is the source of this 281-nucleotide non-coding RNA. Lineage: Eukaryota; Fungi; Ascomycota; Schizosaccharomycetes; Schizosaccharomycetales; Schizosaccharomycetaceae. The record is from the annotation of a GenBank genome assembly.